This 203-nucleotide long non-coding RNA is filed under the name Mytilus galloprovincialis (Mediterranean mussel). Lineage: Eukaryota; Metazoa; Mollusca; Bivalvia; Mytilida; Mytilidae. The record is from RNAcentral.
AUAUUCUCAGAUCUGCAGUGACAUCACAACAUGUAACUGACCAAUCAAUGAUUAGCAUGUGUGUUAUAUAAUCAAUGUUGAGAGGUAAUGCGGAUAAGAAUCCUCUAGAUUUUCCAUAGACUUCAAUGCAAAUUAAUUUAAUUGAUAUAUAUUGACACCAGUUGAAUCUAGUAAUUUUACCCACUUAAUAUUGUUAAAGACAC